AAAUGGUUUUGAAAGUCUUAAUCACCAAAGGUGCAGUUAUUUGAUCAAAUCUACAGUAGAACUACAGUUCUUAAAAUGACUGUUUUCUGUUUUAUUAUAUUUGAAAAUUUAAUUUAUUCCUGUGAUGACAAAGCUGAAUUUUGAGCAGUUAUUGCUCCAGUCUUCAGUGUCACAUGAUCCUUCAGAAAUCCCUCUAAUGGUUAUCAGUGAAACAGUUGAAAACAGUUGCGCUUCUUAAUAUUUUUUGUGGAAACUGACAUGUUUUUUCUUCAGGACUCUUAUUUUUCUGAAACUUUAAAAAACAGCAUUUAUUUAAAAAAAAAAAAAAAUUGUUACAUUCUAAAUGCCUUUACUGUCACAAGGUAUAGAGAUGUUCUCUUUGUUUAGAUGUACAGGUGUUUGUGGUUAUGCUCUGUGUUUGCCCAGUUGGGGACAUCGGCUGAGCUGACCUGCAUGUAUGAUACACACGCCUCAGAGGGCUUCACCCUGGAGUGUAUUUAGAGUCAGUUACAAUAAACCACCACAUCUGAUCUCAGUGUCCUGUUUGACACAGGUGCUGUACUAAAAUGGGAGGCUUUACUAGGUGAAAUCUUGGGAGGGAAGGAUGGCUCUUGUGCAGAACCCUCCAGUGUCUCGAGUCGCUUCUGUCAGGAUCAACAAUGGCAAAAUAUCUGAUAGUGGGUUGUAUAUGAGUGUGUGGGCACCAACCCAAAUGACUGGUCUAGCAGUGGACAAGGUCUGAUCAACCUCACUGUGCUAGCUCCUCCAUCUGUACCAGAAUGUUGGCUGCAGGGAUACUCCUUAGUGGGGUAUGAUGUGAUUCUGAUAUGUCAUUCCUCUCAGGGUCACCCAACACCAAUCUAUUCAUGGCACAGAGAGCAGAAUGCAGCCCCUCUGCCGUCAGACAGUUUUGUUGAAGGCAGGAAACAAUUAGCUGCUGCGAUAAAACUCAAUCUGGCACCUGAAAAUAGAGCACGGAUGGCAGAUUUGCUUACUUAACUUUCAUAAAGAGCCAAACAGGAUUAUAUAUAAAAACUAAGCAUUAACAAUUUUAAUGAAUCUCACCCUCAGGCCAUCCAAGAUGUAGAUGAGUUUGUUUGUUCAUGAGAGCAGAUUUGGAGAAAUUUAGCAUUACAUUACAUGCUCGCCAAAGGGUCCUUUGCAGUGAAUGGGUGCCGUCAGAAUAAGAGUCCAAACAGCUGAUAAAAACACAACAAUAAUCCACAAGUAAUCCACACUACUCCCGUCCUUCAAUUAACAUCUUGUAAAGCCAAACACUGUGUGUUUGUAAUAACCAAAUGAAACGAAAUGUUUUAUAGUAUUAUUUAUUUUUACAUUUUUUAUAGUAUGUAUUAUUUUUACAUUUGUACAUGUAUAUAUCACCAUUAGUCAUCAGCCACCCUGCUAUCUAGAUAUCAACCU
Long non-coding RNA from Cyprinus carpio carpio, 1422 nucleotides. Lineage: Eukaryota; Metazoa; Chordata; Actinopteri; Cypriniformes; Cyprinidae. The record is from Ensembl.